Non-coding RNA from Nephila pilipes (giant wood spider), 106 nucleotides. NCBI's taxonomy places the organism in Eukaryota, Metazoa, Arthropoda, Arachnida, Araneae, Nephilidae. The record is from the annotation of a GenBank genome assembly.
UCAUGCCAAGCUGAAUGCACUGGUUCUCGUCCGAUCACAGUAGUUAAGCAUCAUCGGGCGCGAUCAAUACUUCAGAGGUUUACCACCUGGAAACACCCAUGUGCCG